This 5133-nucleotide long non-coding RNA is filed under the name Gallus gallus (chicken). Its description in RNAcentral is "lncRNA (ENSGALG00010000776.1)". The record is from RNAcentral. Lineage: Eukaryota; Metazoa; Chordata; Aves; Galliformes; Phasianidae.
AUCACCAUGCGACCCGAGGAGCCGGCCGUGCGGCAGCGGGGCGGGGCGGCCCCGGGGCUCCGAGCGCCGCCUCAGCUUCUGCGAGUGGGUGUCCGGGGGGGGCGCCGGGGCGGGGAGUCCUCUCCCACCCCUCCCCUCACUUCCUCCCGCCCCCGGUCCCCAUUCUGACCCCCAGGGUCCUCUGUCUGUCCCCCUCCCUCCCGAUCCCUCCUCGCUCCCCCGCUCUCAUCCCUUCUGUCUCCUUUCCCGCCCCCCCCACAGCUCUCCCCACGUUGGCCCCUCCAUCCGUCUCCCCCCUCUGACUCCCCUCUGUCUGCCCCCCAGGGUCCCCCGUCUUCCCUCUUCCUUCUCCCUCCCCCCUGCUGACCCCAUUUGCUGACCCCUAGAGUCCCCUGUAUCCCCCCAUGCCCUCCUCCCUGACCUCUGGAGUCCGCUCCCCCAUUUUGACCCCCAGUAUCCCCCAACGGGACCCCCUUUAUGUCCCAUAGAAGCCCCCCCACGACCCCCAGUUUUCCCUUCCAACCUCUCUCUCCACCCCCAGACCCCCUUUUUCCCCACGGAAGUCUCGUUCUCCUCUUCCCCCCCAAGGCCCCCCAACCUCCACUUUCUGCCCCUUGAUGCCCUUUACACCCCACAGAAGCCCCACUCACACCUUCCCCCCCCCCAGAUUCCACACAACCCCCUCUCCACCCCCUGACUCCCUUUCCACCCCACAGAAGCCCCACUAACCCCUUUCUCACCCCCCCCAAAACCCCCCUUUUCCCCACUUAGAAUCAUGAAGAAGGAUCUGGAGACGUCCUAGAGAGGUCUGGGGGCAUCCAGGGGGUUCUGGACUCAUCCAGAAGAGUCUGGAGAUGUCCAAGGAGGAUCCAGGGAGUCCCCAGGUUGGUCCUGUGGGCCCCUGGAAGGGUCUGGCAGCUCCCACGAUGGGCCCAGGAGCUCUGAGGAGUCUCUGGGCUGAUCUGGAGAUGUCCCAGUAGAGUCUGCGAGGGUCCAGGGAGCCCUCGUGUGGGUCUGAGUGGUCAUCCAGAAGGGUCUGGGGAUGGCCCAGAGAGGACUUGGAGGGUCUGGGGGGUCCUUUGGUGGGUUCAGAGGGUCCUGUUGUCUUCUGGAAGGGUCUGAAGAUGUCCCAGAAGUGUCCUGGGUGUCCAAAGGGUGCUCAUGUGGGUCUGUGGAGCCAUCCAGAAAGUUUGGGGGUGUCCCAGAGAGGCCUUGGAGGGUACAGGGGGUCCUCCUGUUGAUCCAUGGGGUCCAUGGAUUCAUCCAGAAGGGUCUGGAGAUGUCCAAGAAGGUCCCUGUAGGGUGCAGGGGGUCCCCAGGUGUGUCCAGGGCAUCCUUGCAGUCAUCCAGAAGGGUCUGGGGAUGUCCCAGGACUGUCUUGGAGUGUCCAGGGAGUGUUCAUGUGGGUCUGGGGGGUCCUGGAGCCAUCCAGAAGGGUCUGGAGAUGUCCCAGAGAGGACUUGGAGGGUCCGGGGGGUCCUUAGGUGGGUUCUGCUGUCUUCUGGAAGGGUCUGAAGAUGUCCCAGGAGUGUCUUGGGGUGUCCAGGGGGUGCUCGUGUGGGUCUGGGGGGUCCUGGAGCCAUCCAGAAGGGUCUGGGGAUGGCCCAGAGAGGACUUGGAGGGUCUGGGGGGUCCUUUGGUGGGUUCAGAGGGUCCUGUUGUCUUCUGGAAGGGUCUGAAGAUGUCCCAGAAGUGUCUUGGGGUGUCCAGGGGGUGCUGCCACUGAGCCUCCCACUGUCCUAUGAGGGGACAAAAGGACCCCCCUGGGGGCAUUGCGUCAAAGUUGGGGACACUGUGAGCAGCUUGAGGACUUCCCAGGGGAAGUGGGGACACCGCGUCACUGUGUCACACCUCAAAGUUGGGGACACCCCCACCGUGUCACACCUCAAAGUUGGGGCAUCUCUGUGUCCCCCCGAUGGUGUCAGACCCCAAAGUUGGGGACACACCACAGUGUCACACCCCAAAGUUGGGGACACCCCCACAUGUUACACCCCAAAGUUGGGGUCUGUCCCAGAGGUGGGAGUGCCCCCACAGUCCCCACCAUGGCGUCACAUCCCAAAGUUGGGGACCCCCCUCUGGGGACCCAUUCUGUGCGCCCCCCAUUGCAGACUGCACUGUUCCCAUGGGGUGGGAGCGGGGGGCACCCUUUAUUUUUGGGAUUAAGGUUUAUUUCGUGAUAACGGGGGGUUGGGGGAUGCCCCCCCUACGUGAAUAGCAGGAAGAGGAGCGGCUGUGGGGCUCCGUGUGUCACACCGGGGAGUGCUUUGGGGACACUGCAGCAUCCCAGCCCCAUAGCCCCCAUGGCCCUAUAACCACUACAGCCCCAUCUCAUAGCCAUCCCAUAUCCAUAUCCCAUCCCAUAUCCCAUCCUGUAUCCAUAACCCUUCCAAUAUCCAAACCAUCAUAUCCAUCCCAAACCCAUACCCCAAAUCCAUCCCGUAUCCAUAUCCCAAAUCCAUCCCGUAUCCAAAUCCCAAAUCCAUCCCGUAUCCAUAUCCCAAAUCCAUCCCAUAUCCAUAGCCCAUCCCAUAUCCGUAUCCCAUCCCAUAUCUCAUCCCCUAUCCAUAUCCCAUCCCAACUCCAUGCCAAAUCUCUUUCUAUAUCCAUAUCACCUUAUCCAUCCCAUAACCAUCCCAAAUCCAUCUCAAAUCCAUAUCUCAUCCCAAACCGAUCCCAUCUCCUUAUCCAUCCCAUAUCAAUGUCCCAUCCCUUAUCCAAUCCCAUACCCCAUCCUAAAGCCAUCCCACAUCCAUACCCCCACAUCCCAUAUCCUAUCCCCAUCCUGUACCCCAUGUCCCAUAUCCAUUUCCAUCCCACAGCCUUCCUGAAUCCAUAUCCCCACAUCCAUCCCGUGUCCACCCCAUAUCCAUUCCAUAUACCUAUCCCAUCCUAUGAUCAUCCCAAUCCCAUCCCAUAUCCAUAUCCCGUCCCAACUCCACCCCAUAUCGUUCCCAUACCUUUGCCAAGUCUGUCCCGUACCCGUAUACCCACUUCCUGCAUCCCAACCCCAAUCCCAAUCCCACACCUCAUUCCCAAUCCCACAUGCCAAUCCCGUAUCCCGCAUCCCAAUCCCUAUCCCGAAUCCCAAUGCCAAUCCCACAUCCCAGCCCCAUGUACCAUCCGUCAAUCCAUCGCAAUCCCAAAUCUCAUAUCCCAGUCCUAACCCCAAUCCCACACCCCCAAUCCCAAUCCCACACCCCUAAUCCCAAUCCCAACCCCUAUUGCAAUAGGGCGCACUCCGGGCCCCCCCCGCAGCUCUAUCCCGCCCCCGGCCUCUCAUUGGUCAGGUGCAGCUCUAUCCCGCCGCCGGCCUCUCAUUGGCUGAGAUGCAGCUCCGUCCCACCCCCGGCCUCUCAUUGGCUGAGGUGCAGCUCUAUCCCGCCGCCGGCCUCUCAUUGGCUGACGUGCAGCUUCGUCCCGCCCCCAUCCUCUCAGUGGUCAGACGCAGCUCCGUCCCGGCCCCGGACUCUCAUUGGCUGAGCCUGCAGUUCCAUCCUGCCUUCAGCCUCUCAUUGGUCAGGUGCAGCUCCUUCCCCUCCCCGGCCUCUCAUUGGCUGACGCGCAGCCCAGUCCCGCCCCCGGCCUCUCAACCGGUCAGCGGCAGCGCCGCCGGCUCCCAUUGGCUGAGGCGCAGCGCGCGGGAGCGGCCGUUGGCAGCCGGCUCGGAGCCGCCCGGCUCUCCCCUCAGCCGGCGCCGCUCCGCAGUCCGGGCCGCCCCGCACGGCACCGCCGACGGAACGGCACCGGGACGGAACCGCGGCACGACGGGAGCGGUGCUGAGCUCUGCGGUGGGUCGUGUGGUGUUGUGGGGAAGCACUGCAGAUGGAAAGCUGCUGUGUGGAGCCCCACAGGAUGAGUUGCAGAGGCCCCUGAAGGAAAAGGAGAAGGAAGGGCAUUUGCAGAGGGAAAGGCUGUCCCGCUGGCCUUAGGUGUUGCUGAACGGGAGGGGUGGCCAAUGCUUUCUCUUUCCGCUGACUCACGGAUGGUGGCAAAUGCCUUCUGGGGGUGGUUCCAGCAGUGGGAAGAAAACAACUGGCAGCGGAGGGGUGAACCUCUUUGGGCUGCUGAGCUGUGUGCUGAACCAUAAGGAAGGUGGCUGUAAAGGUGUGCCGUGCAGAUGUCGUGUGCCCAGCAGUCGGGCCGAUGAAGAGCAACAAAUGAAGCGCCAGUGGCUCAGAUGGCUUCUCGCCUCCUGGGUGCCCUUGCCUCUUUCCUUGCCAUGGCCUUGAGGCUUUUCCUCAGCUGGCUGGCUGAUCCUGUCCCCGGCGGCUGCCCUUUCCUCCUGCCAGGCACACGAUGGUAAGCUUUUGGCCUGCACCACAGUCACUUGUCAUCUUUGCUUUGCCAUGACAUCGGAUCCAGUUUCUGUUCCUUGUAAUAUGUGUGUAUUUUGUGUACUUAUGGAGGUUUUUUUUUUUGUCUUUUGGUUUUGAUUUUCUCUUUUUUGUUUGUUUUUCUCCUCUAUUUUAAUUUGUGUUUUGUGUGGGCUUUUUUCAUUUGUCUAUUUUAGUUGUUUUUUUUUUUGUGGGGCGCUCUGUGUUAUUGGGUUUUCUAUUUUUCUUUUUUCUUGUUUCUUUCAUUUUUUGUUUUGUGUGUGUGUGUUUGUGGCUGGGUGGGUUUUUGUUUUUCUUUUUUUGUUGUUCUGAUUUGUUGCUUUAAAUGUGUUUGUUUUGAUUUGCUGUUGUUUCCCCUCGUUUUCCUUUUUUUUUUUUUGUUCUUUGCUUUCCACCUCUAUCUUGAUUUUUUUUUUGCCUAUUAUUUUGUCCCAUUACAUUUCUUUUUUUCUUUGACUAUUCCUUUUUUUUAUUCUUUUUUUCUUUUUUUUUCUUCCAUUGCUUUGCUCUGGUUUGCUCCUUUGUUUUUCUAUGCUACCUUUGCUUUGCAUUGCAGUUCAUUUUCCUUUCUUUGCUUUGCUUUCUCUUACUGCUUUGGUUGUUCUCUUUUAUCCCCUUUGCUUGUUUUUUUUGUCUGUUUUUUUUUCCUUUACAUUGUUAUGCUUCAGUUAGCUUAUGUUUUUUGCCACUUCCUUCGUUUGAAUUCUUUGAUUUGCUACGGUAUUACAUUUUAUGUCAUUGCUUUUUCCUUGUAUUUCUUGUAUCGUUUUGCUUUGCUUUUUCUUUGGUUUGCUUUUUU